This 30-nucleotide non-coding RNA is filed under the name Macaca fascicularis (crab-eating macaque). RNAcentral also lists the same sequence under 1 other name. The record is from RNAcentral. Lineage: Eukaryota; Metazoa; Chordata; Mammalia; Primates; Cercopithecidae.
UGCAUUUCUCUGUGUCAUGAAAAUUCUUCA